This 25-nucleotide non-coding RNA is filed under the name Cricetulus griseus (Chinese hamster). Lineage: Eukaryota; Metazoa; Chordata; Mammalia; Rodentia; Cricetidae. The record is from RNAcentral.
UCUGCCAGUCUCUGAGAUUAGAACG